RNAcentral lists this transfer RNA (75 nucleotides) under Caudoviricetes sp. Its description in RNAcentral is "tRNA-Ile". Lineage: Duplodnaviria; Heunggongvirae; Uroviricota; Caudoviricetes. The record is from RNAcentral.
GAAGCGUAGCUCAGGUGAUAGAGUGGCGGCAAUGCCGUUGUGUCGUUGGUUUGAAUCCAACCGCCCGGUUUAUCA